Amphimedon queenslandica is the source of this 1003-nucleotide long non-coding RNA. RefSeq lists it as uncharacterized. The transcript has 3 exons. NCBI's taxonomy places the organism in Eukaryota, Metazoa, Porifera, Demospongiae, Haplosclerida, Niphatidae. The record is from RefSeq and is a predicted model, not a curated record.
UUAUAACAGACUAGCAAUUAUUGCCCCAGAUUUCUCUGCAGUGGAACCUGAUAUUACAACUUUUUAUGUCAUGGAAAAAGUUAUACAUUGAUGUUGCAACUAAGUUCUUUAAAGAAUCACACCUCCUAACAAGGGAUAAACAGAAGUUUAAUGAAUAAUGAUUAUCAAUUGAUACAGAAUAAUUUAUUCUUUACUGGUGGUGGAUUUUAAGCUCUGAAGUCUUUUACACGCAAAUUGUUACUCAUCAAAAUAGAUCUAAUUAAAAGGCUCCAAUCUAGCUGAUUUCAUUAUCCAAAUAUAUUAAAAGACUGUACACCGGCCAUAAAUGGCCACUAACUAUAGAUCUAUUAUUGUAAGUUCACUGUUAAUCAUGAUCACCUAUAAUUAUUUUUCUUACCAUAUACAUCACAGUUAUGUAUAUGUUGAACAAUUGACAGUACUAUGCAUGUCCUUCAAAACUCUUGAAAAAAGCAUUUAUACUGUGACCAGAGGCAAUGAAACUCUCAAAAUAACAUUGAUAAAAGAAAUAAUUUAAUAGGAUGAUUAAAGAAUUUUCAAAAAGAUGCUAGAAUAUUGUAUAAAAUUGUUGUAGAGCAAGUCGGGGCUAUUCCUUCCCCCUGUAUAUAUUUGAGCAUAUUUAUUGUCAUUUUUAGAUGAAGGAGACUCAAAGUGGGAUGUUAAGUUGAAUCCACUACAGUUAAAUUAUGACAAUGAAGGCUGGAUAACAGUUUGUUUUGAUGGUAUAAACCUUGAUCUAGCUCAUGUUGUAUGUCGGCAAAAAGGAUUCACUAAUAUGCUACUACUUUUAAAAUAAGUGAAUGUCCAUCAGUGUCUGAUCUUGUAAUAACUCAAAUUUUGUCCAUCAACUUCAAUUUGCUCGUUAUAUGGUGAAACCAACAUUAUUAGAUAAUAAUUGCUGAUCCUGUUCCAAAUAAACCACCUGCAAAAAUACUGUGUAAAUGCAGAUACUGAUACAAUAAGGGAAACUAAUCCUUACAAAGGU